GGCGUUUUUCGCCGCGGCGGAGCUCGACCGCAAGCUGAAGUAGCCGAGGUGCCUACUGCGGUGCUCAUCGAGUACAUCGACGAGCACCGCGACCGGUUCGGGGUCGAGCCGAUCUGCCAGGUGCUGCGUGACGCCGACGUCCAGAUCGCCCCG
Molecule: non-coding RNA, 153 nt
Filed under: Pseudoclavibacter triregionum
Lineage: Bacteria; Bacillati; Actinomycetota; Actinomycetes; Micrococcales; Microbacteriaceae
Description: Pseudoclavibacter sp. 125703-2019 ALIL
Rfam family: ALIL pseudoknot
Source: RNAcentral